UGGGGAAUAUUGGACAAUGGGCGCAAGCCUGAUCCAGCCAUGCCGCGUGGGUGAUGAAGGCCUUAGGGUUGUAAAGCCCUUUCGGCGGGGAAGAUAAUGACGGUACCCGCAGAAGAAGCCCCGGCUAACUUCGUGCCAGCAGCCGCGGUAAUACGAAGGGGGCUAGCGUUGCUCGGAAUCACUGGGCGUAAAGCGCACGUAGGCGGAUUCUUAAGUCAGGGGUGAAAUCCCGGAGCUCAACUCCGGAACUGCCUUUGAUACUGAGAGUCUCGAGUUCGGGAGAGGUGAGUGGAACUGCGAGUGUAGAGGUGAAAUUCGUAGAUAUUCGCAAGAACACCAGUGGCGAAGGCGGCUCACUGGCCCGAUACUGACGCUGAGGUGCGAAAGCGUGGGGAGCAAACA
This 402-nucleotide ribosomal RNA is filed under the name uncultured Rhodoplanes sp. RNAcentral describes it as "bacterial SSU rRNA". It matches the Rfam family "Bacterial small subunit ribosomal RNA", at positions 355 to 774 of the family's 1533-position model. Lineage: Bacteria; Pseudomonadati; Pseudomonadota; Alphaproteobacteria; Hyphomicrobiales; Nitrobacteraceae. The record is from RNAcentral.